Anopheles moucheti is the source of this 101-nucleotide small nucleolar RNA. RefSeq annotates it as small nucleolar RNA Me28S-Am2589. The transcript has a single exon. The record is from RefSeq and is a predicted model, not a curated record. Lineage: Eukaryota; Metazoa; Arthropoda; Insecta; Diptera; Culicidae.
AAGUUUACGUUUAAAUUAUCUGAUUGGAGUUGUUCCUCUGUUUUAGAGUAACUUUUCCUUUUUUAAGAUGACUAUAUACGAGGCAUUUGUCUGAUACUGUC